AAAAACUUGCCAAAAAGGAAGGGGCUCGGAUAGACCGUAAUCGUGACAUCGAACGCUUAUGGGAAUUUUAUCAGCAAUACAAAAGGCGGCACAAAGUGGACGAUAUUCAAAGAGAGGAGCAAAAAUGGCGUGAAUCUGGAGCAGUUAGUGCUAAUAUAGGAGAGUUGGGACUUAGAUUUUCUGAAAUGAGAAAGGUAUUCGCUACCUUGAGGGCUGUGGUUGAAGUGAUGGAGUAUCUGAGCAAAGAUGCAGCUCCUGAUGGUGUGGGAAGGCUUAUAAUGGAGGAGUUGAGAAGGAUCAAGAAAUCUGAUGCUACUUUAUCGGGGAACUUGCACCAUACAAUAUUGUUCCUCUAGAGGCACCAUCGUUGACCAAUGCUAUUGGUUUCUUCCCAGAGGUUCAGGGUGCCAUAUCAGCAGUUAAGUACACUGAGCAGUUCCCUCAGCUACCCGCUGGUUUUGAUAUUCCUGGACAGCGGCAUAUGGAUAUGUUUGAUCUUUUAGAAUAUGUCUUUGGCUUUCAGAAAGACAAUGUAAGGAACCAGCGCGAGAAUGUCAUCCUCAUUGUUGCAAAUGCCCAGUCACGACUUGAGAUACCUGUUGAGGCAGAUCCAGUGAGUUUUAAAU
Solanum verrucosum is the source of this 626-nucleotide long non-coding RNA. RefSeq lists it as uncharacterized. The transcript is spliced from 5 exons. The record is from RefSeq and is a predicted model, not a curated record. NCBI's taxonomy places the organism in Eukaryota, Viridiplantae, Streptophyta, Magnoliopsida, Solanales, Solanaceae.